CCCCUAGAUGUUCUGGGCCGCACGCGCGCUACACUGAACAGUUCAACAAGUCUUAACCUUGGCCGAUAGGUCUGGGUAAUCUUUGAACGCUGUUCGUGAUUGGGAUAGACCUUUGCAAUUAUGGGUCUUCAACGAGGAAUUCCUAGUAAACGCAAGUCAUCAGCUUGCAUUGAUUACGUCCCUGCCCUUUGUACACACCGCCCGUCGCACCUACCGAUUGAAUGGUCCGGUGAAAUCUCGGGACGGCGGCUUGGUCGCUUGCGUCCGACUGCUGAAACUUGAUUAAACCAUAUCAUUUAGAGGAAUGUGAAGUCGUAACA
RNAcentral lists this ribosomal RNA (320 nucleotides) under uncultured eukaryote. RNAcentral's name for it is "partial 18S ribosomal RNA". It matches the Rfam family "Eukaryotic small subunit ribosomal RNA", at positions 1470 to 1796 of the family's 1831-position model. The record is from RNAcentral.